CUCCAAGCAAAGAGGUGAGAAGGUGCUGUGGUACCCGCCGUGCUGAGGCAUUUCCCUCACACUGAGUUUGCUUAGGGUUGGCUUUGCUUUUUCCUUCUCCUGUGGAGGGGAAAAGAGUGGAAGGCUACCAAGUCCAAAGGCAGUGAGGUGCCAGAACGUGUAACCCUGUCUCUUCCCGUUAACUCCAUGGUGGUCUUCUGCACAUCCCCCUGGAAAUGUCAUUCACUGGGAGGCUUCCUAGUCCCAUUUCCUCUUUCUUUUUGCUGCCUUCUGCUUGUACGGCCAUGGAUGUUUCUGCCGUUUCACUGUAGACAAAAUGAAUUCAUCUCUUUUUCUUGCCUUACAGAAAGAAGACGACAACGAAAGGAGAGGAGAGUGGAGCUGAAGAAGGCUGCCCUCAGAGCUGCCGCUGCACGUGCAGAGGUGAGUCCUUGGUGAACACAGACACGGCUCUUCUUGUUCUCAGGGCCUCCGUCUGUCACACAUGAAAGGAAGAGAGUGUAAAAUCCCGAGGGAAGUGGUGUCCUGUUUCUACCCUCGCUCCGUUUCUUCCCAGGCCUCCGCAGUGGACAGCCUUGUGGAGAUGAUGCAGAAGCUGCAGCUGAAGGACUGAGAGGAGGAGCGUCAGCAGGCAGCAGCUUCUGCAGUGCGCGGCGUUACAGGGCAGCGCUGAGUGCCGCCCAUCUCAGCACUCCACCUUCAAACGAAGUCAAUAAAAACCAGUCAAAUUUAUAGAUUCACAGAGUGCGAAAGGCCUGAUUUGUCCAGCGGCACUCGGAGAGCUGCUGCACCACCUCCUCGUUAUUGGUCUCGCGGCGCUCGCUCAGAACUGCCACAGCUCCGUCAGCGAAUGCUGUCGUCCAGUGAUGCAACGGAGGCAGCAGUCCUUUGCACUGCCCACAGACAGACUGUCUGCAAAGCACAUGCAAAGAGCUGCAGGGAACAAAGCCUGGCCAUGAGCGUGCUAACUUGGAGAGCAACGCUGUGGAGAUUGCUGAGUUUCCCAGGGCAGCACCGAGCGUUUUUUGCUGUGAUGACGGGUGUACAAUGAGCAAAGUUCAGCAAAAGGACGGCGUUUUCUGAAAAAAUGACAGGCUGUUGGUCCAGAGGAGCAUCUCUGCAGCUUAGGACCACCAGGCUGCCAUCCCGGCACUGUUCUGCUUGCAGACAGCGCUCCAUGUUGUGGCACUCAGAGGGCGUCCCUCUGCCGCGCAGCCCUCCCCAGUGUCUGCCUGCCUGUCACUGCUCCAGAUGGGAUGGAGCUGUUUCCUUUGCAGUGCCUCCCAUGGCGCUGUGUUCACAAGCGUGCACCCCAUCCCUCUGCACACCCACGAGCACGAAGACUCGAGCACUGCUCCAGCCUUGCACACUGCCAUGUGCAUGCACACAGAUGCAAAACUUUCACCUGCAAGCACUGUGCACACAGCGACGUGCAAUGCAUGCUCUGAUGUUCAGCCCCACCUCUGCACACCCCCGUAUGCACGCAUACCUGCACUCACAGCUCGAGGACAAAAUGCUGCUGGCACGGCACAGCCAACACGCAGGCGGUGGGUAAUGUCAGGAGGAAAGGCGCCCCCUUACGCUCAUUCAUUCUCCUCUCUUGAAUGAAUGCAUCGGGGCACAGCUGAAGCCCCAUCCUGAGAUGUGGAUUGAUGUGGGGUUCCUCAUCGGUGGGAUAUGGGGAUCCUGGGAUGGUGAUGGCGGUCCUCUCAGAAACUGUGGGAGUCCGAGAAGCAGGGGGGGGGGCUGAGGGUGUAAGGGAUAUCUGAGAAAGGAAAUAGGGGGGUUCAGCGGGAGCUCAGAGGGGGACGUGGGUUGCUGCUGGGGACUGUGGGGCUCUGUGAGGUCCCAGGUUUCCGGGGGGAGGUGUACUGGGAAAAGGUUUUUGAGGAGCUAUGGGGCUCUGUGGGGGCCGUGGGGGGGAUAUAGGGACAUUGGGGGAUAUGGGGACACAGCCUUCAGGAGCAGAAUGCUGUUCAGGAGAAGACAAGACGUGAGCUGCAGGUGGGACACAGGGGUAUGGGGUAGUAUGGGGACAUAGAGAGUAUGGGAGGAUGUGGGGAGCAGUUUGAGGUAAAAAGAGGUUGGGGGGGGCAGUGUUGGAGUGGUUUCAUUUCAUCCUGAGAGGAGACUGGGCGUCCCUGUGGCCCAAAAGUGGGGCCCUGAGUCGUAACCCCACAUGAGACAUAACCCAAGAUAACCUCAUCGCCCUGUAUGUGCGUGACCGCAUGGCUGCACGUGACCCACAGCCCUGGGGGAACCAUACCCCCACAUGACCCUGUGACUCCCUGACUCUGCCUGCCC
Molecule: long non-coding RNA, 2304 nt
Filed under: Gallus gallus (chicken)
Lineage: Eukaryota; Metazoa; Chordata; Aves; Galliformes; Phasianidae
Description: lncRNA (ENSGALG00010029071.1)
Source: RNAcentral